CCUACGGGUGGCAGCAGUGGGGAAUAUUGGACAAUGGGCGCAAGCCUGAUCCAGCAAUACCGCGUGAGUGAUGAAGGUCUUCGGAUUGUAAAGCUCUUUUAGUAGGGAAGAUAAUGACGGUACCUACAGAAAAAGCACCGGCAAACUUCGUGCCAGCAGACGCGGUAAUACGAAGGGUGCUAGCGUUGUUCGGAAUUACUGGGCGUAAAGCGUACGUAGGCGGCUUAGUAAGUCGAUUGUGAAAGCCCCGGGCUUAACCCGGGAAUUGCAACCGAAACUGCUUUGCUUGAGUUUAGUGGGGGAUGGUGGAAUUCCUAGUGUAGGGGUGAAAUCCGUAGAGAUUAGGAGGAAUACCGGUGGCGAAGGCGACCAUCUACGCUAAUACUGACGCUAAGGUACGAAAGCGUGGGGAGCAAACAGGAUUAGAUACCCGUGUAGUC
RNAcentral lists this ribosomal RNA (440 nucleotides) under uncultured bacterium. Its description in RNAcentral is "bacterial SSU rRNA". It matches the Rfam family "Bacterial small subunit ribosomal RNA", at positions 338 to 795 of the family's 1533-position model. The record is from RNAcentral.